Molecule: ribosomal RNA, 964 nt
Filed under: Swinscowia stigmatella
Lineage: Eukaryota; Fungi; Ascomycota; Dothideomycetes; Strigulales; Strigulaceae
Description: Strigula stigmatella partial 28S ribosomal RNA
Rfam family: Eukaryotic large subunit ribosomal RNA
Source: RNAcentral
UUAAGAGCUUUGGCUGUGGCGNCGUUCUANUUCGCUUNCCAACAGCGGGUCAUGAGAGGUGUGAGAGCCCCGUCUGAGGCCGCCGACCGCUAUCCGCGUAAAGCUCCUUCGACGAGUCGAGUUGUUUGGUGAAUGCAGCUCCAAAUGGGUGUGUCAAAUUUCAUCUAAAGCUAAAUAUUGGCCAGAGRCCGAUAGCGCACAAGUAGAGUGAUCGAAAGAUGAAAAGCACUUUGAAAAGAGAGUUAAAAAGUAUGUGAAAUUGUUGAAAGGGAAGCGCUGRCCACCAGACCGAAGCGCGRCGGCUCCCCCGGCUGMCCAGCCGGRCUAUUCUGCCGCGCUCCGGCCASGCAUCGGUUCGGGUGGWCGGUCACGGCUCCCGKGAAAGYAUCUACSCCCGGGUCKACUUAUAKCCUGGGACACACGCGACCUACYCGGACCGAGGAACGCKCUUCGRYCCGKAUGCUGGCGUAAUGGUGGKCASCGSCCCGUCUUGAAACACGGACCAAGGAGUCUAACAUCUAUGCGAGUGUGCGGGUGUCAAACCCCUGCGCGAAAUGAAAGUGAACGGAGGUGAGAGCCCCCCGCGGGGUGCAUCAUCGACCGAUCCUGAUGUCUUCGGAUGGAUUUGAGUAAGACGCAUAGCCGUUGGGACCCGAAAGAUGGUGAACUAUGCCUGRAUAGGGUGAAGCCAGAGGAAACUCUGGUGGAGGCUCGCAGCGGUUCUGACGUGCAAAUCGAUCGUCAAAUUUGGSCAUAGGGGCGAAAGACUAAUCGAMCCAUCUGGUAGCUGGUUCCCGCCGAAGUUUCCCUCAGGAUASCAGCAACAGCCUUCAGUUUUAUGAGGUAAAGCGAAUGAUUAGAGGUCCUUGGGGUUGCAACAACCUUAACCUAUUCUCAAACUUUAAAUAUGUAAGAAGUCCCUGUUGCUUCGUUGAACGGGGACAUUGAAUGGAUCGUGCUAGNG